This 317-nucleotide small RNA is filed under the name uncultured bacterium. RNAcentral's name for it is "bacterial SSU rRNA". It matches the Rfam family "Bacterial small subunit ribosomal RNA", at positions 70 to 358 of the family's 1533-position model. The record is from RNAcentral.
CAGAAAGGGGGCAACCCUGGCGGCGAGCGGCGAACGGGUGAGUAAUGCAUCGGAACGUGUCCUCUUGUGGGGGAUAACCAGUCGAAAGACUGGCUAAUACCGCAUGAGAUCGAGAGAUGAAAGCAGGGGACCGCAAGGCCUUGCGCGAGAGGAGCGGCCGAUGCCGGAUUAGCUAGUUGGUGGGGUAAAGGCCUACCAAGGCGACGAUCCGUAGCUGGUAUGAGAGUACGACCAGCCGCACUGGGACUGAGACACGGCCCAGACUCCUACGGGAGGCAGCAGUGGGGCAGUUGGCUGAGAACGAACGCUGGCGGCUC